UCUCAUUCCCUCUUCUGACUUUUGCUUCAGCUGUUAUUCAAUUGCACAGAUGAAAGAAACAACUCAGGAAGGAGCUAAUUAGAGGAAGACAAUGCAGCAGAUGAACUGAGGUGGAACUGGGGAAGGAGGUGGUGGAUGGUAGAGAGGGAAUGGAAAUCCUGAGAGGAGCAGCAAAUACAUGGAGCCAGUCAAAAGGGACCAUUAAAAAAAAAAAAUUAACUGUCAGGGGCAUCUCCCAGAACUGCUAAAAACUGAAGGAACAGUGGGAGUUGCCACGCAUCUCCUGGUUGUGCCAGCCUUUCUAGCCCUGGGAGUUCCAGGAGAAACUGCUGGUCCCCUUUGGGCCUGAGUUUCCCCUUUUUGUAAAAAUCCAGGUUCAUUCCUGGAUGUAUUCAGGAACGUCAGUGAAGGACUCAGAAACAUCUUGAGAUGUGCAGACCAAAGGGACUUCAGAAGAGCACAUCAGGCAGAAGAACACUUCAGCAGAACAAAUCUCCUUGGAAGGUUGCUGUUUGGAGCCUCGGGAAAGUGUGCAGGAGAACAGGCAGCUGGGACAAGGAUGAGGAGCCCAGGAGAUCCUUUAGGAGACUUUUUGGCCAAACCACAGAGCAUGGAACUCCAGUGACUGAAUCCAGCGCUUACUUGGCUCUCUGGCAUGUCUAGAAAUCCAAAUCUAGAAUUCCCAGCUGGGGACAAGCAGGUACUGGCCUGUCACUCCAGCUCCUUCCCCUCAGUGGCACCAUCUCCUGUGUCCCAUACUUCUCUUUAUUACCAAAAUCCCCCAAAGACACCAUUGAUGAUGGAAAACCGUCAGAGAGGCAAUUAGAAAGAAGUUAAAGUGAAUUACAUAUGCAGGGUUUAUUUUCUGUUUUCUGCUAAGGCUGCUGCCAAUUAUUGUGCAAUUAGGCUGCCUUCAUUAGCAAAUGAGAUUAAAAUUAACAUCAUUAAUUACUUGUUCUGUUAAACAGGGGGAAGCAGGCAUUUAAGGGGAAGAUACAGGAAGGUUGUGCUUGGAGCAGAUGGAGCAAUGUUCUCCAGCACCGUUCCUUCAAGGGCUGCUCUGGGUUGUUCACUGUGGGCUAAUACAGAGAUUAAAUUCACAGCACUCCUGCAAAGCCUUGCAGGAACACAGCACAGCCCAUGCCUGCCAAUCUUCAGUCAGUUCUCCUUGCUCUGGACUCUCUUCCAAUGCUUUGUAACUUCCUGGGUGAGUAGCGCCCAAAACUGCAUCCAGCACUCAGCUGAGCUCUCCACAGCACUGGGAAAAGCAGGAAUUCUAUUUUAUAUGUUCUGCUGGGGCUACUUCUGUCUACACUCUCCUGUUUGUCAUUUUUCACAGCAUAUCUCAUCCACUCCUUGAUCAGAAAAAGAGCCCCAGACUUUCCUGCAGGAUUGCCUUUCUGCAUCCUGCAUGAGAACAGUUCAUCAUGCCUGCCUAGAUGGAAAGUCCUGUACUUAUCUCUAUUAAAUUGCAUCUAAUUUCUUCCAAACCAUUUCUCCAAUUUGUCAAAAUCAUUUUGAAAGAAAUAGACAGAUUGGAAAGGUCCCUUGGAAACAUGGAGUGCAGUGAGACAGCCCUGAGUUUCAUCCUGAGCCUUGCCAGGCUGCUGUUUCCCUCUGAUCUGUGUCUCUCUCACCUUGCUCUGCAACACCUGAAAGAAAAAUGUGCCCCCUGUGAGGGACAUUGUCACAAGCUGAGCCUCUUCAAAGCAUGCAGAUGUGCAGAUAAUGCCCAAACCUUCAGGAAAGGCACUGCUGUGGCUGCAGAACCCCUGCUCGCUCAGGCUGCUCUCAGUCCAUGCUGGAGUCUUGCAGGGCACUGCAACAUCACUCCCCAGCUCUAAGCAAACCCAAAGACUCCAAAAGUGGAUCAAAGCCUUAGGAAAUGGACUCAGCUGCACUCCUGACCGUCUGCAGGGGUUACCUGGCAGCCUGUGUGCUGCUCCUCGUGCUAAUGGACUCCCUUUUCUUUGUAGCCCAGGUAGCAGCUGGGGCUGAGAGCCUCUCUAGGUAAGGCUUAGACAAAGCAGGGGGAGUUUUUAUUAGAUCUGCUUUGGAGCACACAAACCUUUGCAUUGAGAGCAAGAGCAUCAGGCUGCAAGUGAAUGAAAGCUGAGGUCAUUUAUUGUCUGUCCCCUUUGCUCGCAGGUUCCUCUGCUCUAAAAAUACCAGCUGCCCUUUUGGACAGGUCAGAACUUCCACAAAAAGGAGCAGCCUGGCUGGAACAGACUGCGCUGAUCCUGAGGGAGCACGUGGGGCUCAGCCUCUUCCCCGUUGUGUUUGGAUCUCUGGUUGAUCUCACAGGAGCCAUUUCCCCUCUCUCUGAGCUUCCCACCUGCACACAAGGUGCAGCAGUUGUGAGCAGCAGCACUGGCAGCAGUGCCAGCAGCACCAGUGACAGCACAGCCCAAGUUCAGCAUAUUCGGGCUGUGCCCCUUGCUGGAUGCAUCUGAAUGCACCCCAUUUUUUGCUCUCCUGACACCCCUGUGAAGCUGGGAGGAGAAAUCUUUCAUCUCUCCAGCUGGAAGCCUCAGUCAGAAAGAGAUUUAACAGUGUACCCAUGGUUAGUCAUGAGCAGGAGGCCGCUUGGGGAACUAAUACUAUUUCUUACUCAGGGGAGAUUUUCAGUGUUGAUGAUCUGUAAAAUGUUUGCCUUGAAUUUCCUUUAGACCCAGCACAGAGCAGUAUCUUAUUCCAAAGCUGUGUUUAAGAAUGGCCAUGAACUUUAUUAGGUGUGAGCCCUUCAGUGAGGAAAGCAAUCGGAUUGUGAGCAAUGCAAUACCUCGUGCAUAGCAAGCAGGCAGCUGGCUCUGAGGAGAGGUUCCUCAUGCAGACCUCAUCAAAAAAUGAAAUGAGAAAAAUAAGUAGACAGGACUAGGCAGGGAAUUCUUCUGCCUUUGUGCCCCAGGGGGAGUAUAUCCAAAUUAAUAGGCCUUUUCCAGUACUAAUGGCUCAGUGAAGAUGUGGGAGUCACAGGCCACAUCAUCAGCUGGUGUAAAUCAGUGUGUACCUGGAGAGAGAGCUGCAACAUUUAUUUACAUUCCUCUUAGCCAGCCCACCAGGAGCACCAGGAAAAGUCACAACCAGAGAUCCCUGGGUCCCACCUGGCUCCCUGUGGGAGGAGUGCCCAUGGACAGGGAUGCUGCUCAAAAGCCACCAGUGUGGUAAAAUCCUGACCAACACCAAAUCAUCCAGCACUGGCACUUCCAUGCUCCACUUACAGGCUCAGCAAUUCCCUGGAGAGGAGCUGAAAGGGGACUGGCAGAGGGAAAAGAAGUGGUAUGAUGGGGUCAGCAGGCUGGAAGGGACUGGGAGAAGGUGCAAAAGGACCCUGAGGUGUGCACAGGGCAGGAAAAGGGGGAUGGGAGAGGGAGAGACAAUGAGAGAGAGCAAGUGAUACAGAGUUUUCCUGUCAGACUCCUCUGUGAGGGCAGAUUUAUCUGCCUCCUUCCUCUGGAAAAUUCAUUAGGCUUUUGUGCCUCCCUCCUCUCCGUGCCAACGUGCUCCAGCUUUGCCCAGGAACAAACCAGUAAUUCAUGUUCAUGCAUUUUCCUCUCCCAACUCCCGUGAAACAACAUGGAAUCCUCCCAGCCCAGCUCUGCUCCUGCUGAUGGGCACCAGCAUCCUGGGAGGAUGCAGAUAUUCCUGCAGGAAUUUGCAGACAAACAGCAGAAAUCCUCUGGUGACCACUCAGCUUGGUGUGAGAGCUGAUCCAUGGACAAGCAGCUGCCCUGGGAAUAAGGGGGAAGAGGCUCCAGGAGCAGGGUGUGUUCUUUACUCAGCUUAAUUUAUCCAUAACUUAGCCAAAGGAAAUUGAAGUGGCCUGUUCCAGCAUUCCUUAAUUUGCCAGUGAACUGGCUAUGGAAGGAGAUAAGAAAUAAGGGCUGAAAUCUUGAAAGAAGCCAUUAGGCAAACACAGGAGCAAAGACCAGCUGAAAUGCGUGUUUGUGCACCGAUAAGAUUCUGAACGUUCCUUUCAGCACCUGACAGCCAGAGGUAUCAACAAGGCAGACAGAUUAAAUUCCUAUAGGCAUUAAUUAAAAGGAUUCUGAUGAGGAGAGAAAUUAAGGCCCAAACACUGAGCAGAAACAACUGUUAUUUUUUCCUCAGAGAAUUUUUAGCUCCAAACAAGUGCUGGGGGGAGGUGAAAAUGGGUUUGUGUGAGAUGCAGAUGGGAGAUGUAGAAACACAUCUCCAAAUGGUAAGGACCACAAGCAAGCUGGAACAAAAACAUUGGGAUGGCUGGUGGUGAUGAAACAGUAAUGAAGAGAGAUAAGAAGCUGACCACCGUGGGCAGAUGGUGGAAGGUGGGAAGGUGGAAAAGGCAGUGAAAUCCCAAAGAUUCCCGUGGUCAGUCUGAGAUUCCCAAGACCAAAAGAGUUGAAUAAAGGAUCACCUGUACCCAGCUUCUGUGGGGAGAGCUGCAGGAAGGGCACAAGCACAAAGGGGCUGCAGCUGAGACAGAGGAAUGGGAACGGGCUGGAUCUCUCACAGCUCUGUGCAUGCAGAGCUGGGGAGAAAGGAAAAAACCUGUCCAAGAAUCCUCAUCUCCUGCCAAAAUUGGCUGUGAGGGGUCUGUGUGAGCUUUGUGCGUGGCUGACCAAGCAGGGCAGGUGUCCCAGUGAUCUGAAGACACCUACAGCUCUCCCUGACUGCGCAUCCAGAGACCUGAGAGGAGGAACAACCUUGUGAACCAGACAGAGGUCAGGGACUGGCAGAGCCUGAGCAGACUCCUGGUUCCACCAGCAAGGGAGGGAGGAUUUGGGUGCCAGGAGCUCUCUGCACCCUGCAUGGAAGCAAACAGGACUUCCCACGCCUGAAAGAUUUGUGGCUGCCAGAUCCAUCAUCCCAGCAGCUGCAGUGGAACAGGAGGGUAGCAAUUUUGCCUCUGCAUCCCUGUGACACCCGUGUGGGUGAGUGCUGUUCCAAGAGAAGCCCCAGCUCCCGUGGAAGUGUGUUGAUCCGCGUUUAGCUGCGCUCCUGCUUCCUCUGGAAGACACAUCCAGCUGAAGCCAGACAGAUUCCACCCACCACAAGGCAGCACAGCUGACGUCUUGUGGCAGUCCCUCGAGGACACGUCUCCAGAAAAAGAAUCACACAGCUGCUCAUCUCAGCUCCCUAAGUCACCACUUCUCUCCUGUUUGGUUUUUUCCCCCCCCUCUUUUUCUCUCAGUUGCUUUAUUUACAUCGUUUUCCUCCCAACAGGUUGACAGAGCAGCGAAUGCUUCGUGGCAGGGAGGGUUGGCUUGGCAAAAUUCUCACUCAGGAAACACUGGAGUGGCUCAGGAACAUGUUUGGAAAAGCCACGACCCUGUUGUAAUGCAGCUGCCACGUGCGAGGGAUUAAACACCAACUUGGAAGUUCAUGGGAGUGAAAUGUCAGCUCAGGGGUUGAUUUCAUUCACCUGACAUUCCUGUUAAUAACAAUGCCUAAUUAGAAAGGCUUUUAAGCAUCCGUUACAUUAAUUUAACGUGAAAAUCUCAUGGAGCUUUAUUGGAAUUUUUUUCUCCUGUAAAAUUAACCCUGCAGGCUUGUUACACAUGUUUUCAUUAGGGACUGUGAGAAGUGGGGAUAUUCAGUGAAUUAGAAUCAGCCCCUUAGUCUUUGAGUUUAACUUUGUAUUUCAAGUUCUUUUAUGCUGAUAAAGCCCUAAUUUGAUCCCCCCCCCACCCCUCCAUUAAUUUAAAACGUGCCACAGCUUCCUCACACUGCAGCUGAAGACUGGAAACCCAAAUUCACUGCUGCCAAUUCCUAUGCAAAGCAGAUAAAAGCCUGGAGUUCAGAGCCUUUGGUAGCAGCUGGUGCUAAUUCUGGUGUGCAGCCCUGCUCUGCUCCAUGGAGCACAUGCCUCUCACAUGGCUGUUUUCCACACAGCUGCCAAGCCGUCUUUAAGGGGGCUGGAAAGCCACCACAGGGUUGCCCCUUUAUUAUUAUUUUUUAUUAUUUUAUUAUUAUUUUAUUAUUUUUAAAUGUUAAAAUUGUAUUAAUUUAUUUUAUUAUUUCUCUUUUUAAGUGUGAGACAUGACAUCCUAGCCAGCACUGAGGCUCCUACCUUUAAGGGCACAACGUGCUGCAGCAGGAGCUGAAAUAUCCCAGAGAUUUUUAUGGGAAUAACAGAGGCUGCUAAAGGAUCACAGGGCUCAUCACAGAGAGGGUCUGGCCAUUCUGAUGGCCCCACCUCACAGUGCUCUGGCCACGCUCUCAAAGUGGCUGCAAUUACAUGUGGCUGGGCCAAAGGUCCGUGGGGCAAGGAGAAUGUGAGUCCCCUUUGAAGGAUUUUCCAUGCCUUUGGAGCCCAACCUUUGGAGAACAACCUGAGCUAUUUCCAGCCCUGGGAUUCAUUAAACUGUGUCCCCAUGUCAAGGUUUGGGCUGCCAUUGAACUUCCCAGCUUGGGAGAGCACUGAGUGAUUUUAAUGAUGGAUCCACUUGGGGAGUGGAGGGAAAGUUGAAGGAACAGGAACAAAUACUUGACUGGCAUAAAUCCAUGGAAUUGCUUGACAUCCAGUGGAAAUCUGACACAAAGCCAAGUCCCUUGUCACACAGAUGUGUUACUGAAAUUGAACCUAAGUGGCAAAAGAUUCACACUGACACAUUAAUAGAGAAGAACAUGCACAGCCCUUGUUCUCCUGCAGCCCACCACAGGAUGGUUUCCCUCAUUAGAUUUUACACUGCUGCAGCUUCCCCAGAUCUACAAUUCCCAGCUGAUUUCACCCCUCUCCAUAGUAAACUACACUGCUGCCUAAUGCACCAGAUGUAAGAAUAUUUUCUGAUAACCACAGAGACUUCUCCUCUUAUUAAGACUUUCCCUUGAGUCACUGCACAUUAAUAUUACCCAUCUGUGGUAUUUAUCCUCUCUCAAUAUGCAGACACUUAUCCUGUCCCUCGUAGUUGUUACUUUGCCAAGCAGUACAUAAUUAGAUGUUUAGAAUCUCUCCUUGUUAAUCAGACCCUUUGAACUGCCUGUAGCUCCAAUAAUGUUGUUGAACUUCCCAAGUUUGUCAGUACCCCUCUCCUGAGGAGGUGUGCAGCACUGAGAGCAGUGUCCCAGCUGUGCUGCAGAGGAAGGGAGCGUGACCCUGUGCCUGCAGUGCCCUCGGUCUGUCUCUGCAGCCACAGCGCAGCUCAACUUUUCCCCUCUCUAAUCCCCAGAUCCCUUCUGAUCAUCUUCUGCCUCGUGAGUCCUCCAAGGCUCUGUUGAAGAUGAUGGAGAUCUUUUCUGCCAGCUCGGUGCCCUGCUCCCUCCCUCCUACCACUCAUCUCACAGAUCAAGUUAUUAACUGGGAGCGCGAUUGGCAGGCGAGGGGGAGAGACGCGGAUAGGGAAUGAAAGGCACGCACAGAAUUUGUAUGCAAGUUUAGCUCCUCUGUUCACUCUGGCAUUGGCAUUGCCUCAGAAACUAGUUCAGUUUGGUCCCUGCUGAGGAUUUGUUUCUGGAAACCUGUCCUGCCUAAUUUCCUAGACUUCCCAAAGCUAUA
Passer domesticus (house sparrow) is the source of this 7477-nucleotide long non-coding RNA. RefSeq lists it as uncharacterized. The transcript is spliced from 3 exons. The record is from RefSeq and is a predicted model, not a curated record. NCBI's taxonomy places the organism in Eukaryota, Metazoa, Chordata, Aves, Passeriformes, Passeridae.